GAUGAAGAACGUAGCAAAUGCGAUAAGUAGUGUGAAUUGCAGAAUUCAGUGAAUCAUCGAAUCUUUGAACGCACAUUGCGCCCGCCAGUAUUCUGGCGGGCAUGCCUGUUCGAGCGUCAUUUCAACCAUCAAGCCCCAGGCUUGUGUUGGAGCCCUGCGGCUGCCGCAGCCUCCCAAAACCAGUGGCGGGCUCGCUAUCACACCGAGUGCAGUAGUUUACUCUUCGCUCAGGGCGUGUGGCGGGUGCUAGCCGUGAAACCCCCAACUUCUCAAGGUUGACCUCGGAUCAGGUAGGAAUACCCGCUGAACUUAAGCAUAUCAAUAAGCGGAGGA
RNAcentral lists this unclassified non-coding RNA (333 nucleotides) under soil metagenome. RNAcentral's name for it is "partial contains 5.8S ribosomal RNA, internal transcribed spacer 2, and large subunit ribosomal RNA". The stretch from base 1 to 119 matches the Rfam family "5.8S ribosomal RNA", at positions 35 to 154 of the family's 154-position model. The record is from RNAcentral.